This is a long non-coding RNA of Brassica napus (rape), 548 nucleotides long. RefSeq lists it as uncharacterized. NCBI's taxonomy places the organism in Eukaryota, Viridiplantae, Streptophyta, Magnoliopsida, Brassicales, Brassicaceae. The record is from RefSeq and is a predicted model, not a curated record. The transcript is spliced from 3 exons.
AAAUUAACACUGGAAAUUAAUGGUGCUAUAUUUCAUGUUCCAAAUGCUAACGCAAGCUCCAAUGUUGAUUCUCAGCUUUAACAUGCCAAAAUCACAAUGCAGUGGGUGUUGUAAGGAACCGUUUGUAAAUAAAUGUCUCGGAUGUAUAUGACUGCUUAGUUUGUUGCUUUUGACAGUGAAAUCACUAAGCUUGCAAUGUGUCAGGACAGCAAAAGCAUCUCAGCUGAUGAUUGUGAAUGAAAGGCACAAGCAGGGAACAUAUAUGUAGCUGCGUUCGACUCGACAUGUAGCGGUAUCUGCAGAUCCGCUGAUCCCAUUGUGGAGGUUAACAUGCAAUGUGUUGACCUGGAAAUCAUUAUUUGGAAGCUACAUUUCGAGGCAUUUCCUCAACAUAUAAAUAUACCAUAGACAUAGUUUGAUAUUUAUAAUACUCAGUGAUCAUGGAGUCUGCCGAAAACAGUCUUUUUGCAUAUUCUAUAUGGAACCAAGAGAUAUGUCCUUUGUUUGAUGAUUGUAUUAUGAUAGCUACUAAUAUAGGAGAUGACUAG